GAUCUGUUGCUUACUACAGC
Molecule: non-coding RNA, 20 nt
Filed under: Rattus norvegicus (Norway rat)
Lineage: Eukaryota; Metazoa; Chordata; Mammalia; Rodentia; Muridae
Source: RNAcentral